GGUUAAGCGACUAAGCGUACACGGUGGAUGCCCUGGCAGUCAGAGGCGAUGAAGGACGUGCUAAUCUGCGAUAAGCGCCGGUAAGGUGAUAUGAACCGUUAUAACCGGCGAUUUCCGAAUGGGGAAACCCAGUGUGACUCGUCACACUAUCAUUAACUGAAUCCAUAGGUUAAUGAGGCGAACCGGGGGAACUGAAACAUCUAAGUACCCCGAGGAAAAGAAAUCAACCGAGAUUCCCCCAGUAGCGGCGAGCGAACGGGGAGGAGCCCAGAGCCUGAAUCAGCAUGUGUGUUAGUGGAAGCGUCUGGAAAGGCGCGCGAUACAGGGUGACAGCCCCGUACACAAAAGCGCAUGUGCUGUGAGCUCGAUGAGUAGGGCGGGACACGUGGUAUCCUGUCUGAAUAUGGGGGGACCAUCCUCCAAGGCUAAAUACUCCUGACUGACCGAUAGUGAACCAGUACCGUGAGGGAAAGGCGAAAAGAACCCCGGCGAGGGGAGUGAAAAAGAACCUGAAACCGUGUACGUACAAGCAGUGGGAGCCCCACCACCAAAGCAUUCUCUGGUGUUGAAGGCCCUGCAAAGCAGCAUCGCGGUGGCGGAGCGUCGUUUGCGACGCCCAACACACAAAACAAGCGGUGAGUGCUUUGGGGUGGGGUGACUGCGUACCUUUUGUAUAAUGGGUCAGCGACUUAUAUUCUGUAGCAAGGUUAACCGUAUAGGGGAGCCGGAGGGAAACCGAGUCUUAAUUGGGCGUUAAGUUGCAGGGUAUAGACCCGAAACCCGGUGAUCUAGCCAUGGGCAGGUUGAAGGUUGGGUAACACUAACUGGAGGACCGAACCGACUAAUGUUGAAAAAUUAGCGGAUGACCUGUGGCUGGGGGUGAAAGGCCAAUCAAACCGGGAGAUAGCUGGUUCUCCCCGAAAGCUAUUUAGGUAGCGCCUCGUGAAUUCAUCUCCGGGGGUAGAGCACUGUUUCGGCUAGGGGGCCAUCCCGGCUUACCAACCCGAUGCAAACUGCGAAUACCGGAGAAUGUUAUCACGGGAGACACACGGCGGGUGCUAACGUCCGUCGUGAAGAGGGAAACAACCCAGACCGCCAGCUAAGGUCCCAAAGUCAUGGUUAAGUGGGAAACGAUGUGGGAAGGCCCAGACAGCCAGGAUGUUGGCUUAGAAGCAGCCAUCAUUUAAAGAAAGCGUAAUAGCUCACUGGUCGAGUCGGCCUGCGCGGAAGAUGUAACGGGGCUAAACCAUGCACCGAAGCUGCGGCAGCGACACUGUGUGUUGUUGGGUAGGGGAGCGUUCUGUAAGCCUGCGAAGGUGGCCUGUGAGGGUUGCUGGAGGUAUCAGAAGUGCGAAUGCUGACAUAAGUAACGAUAAAGCGGGUGAAAAGCCCGCUCGCCGGAAGACCAAGGGUUCCUGUCCAACGUUAAUCGGGGCAGGGUGAGUCGACCCCUAAGGCGAGGCCGAAAGGCGUAGUCGAUGGGAAACGGGUUAAUAUUCCCGUACUUGGUGUUACUGCGAAGGGGGGACGGAGAAGGCUAUGUUGGCCGGGCGACGGUUGUCCCGGUUUAAGCGUGUAGGCUGGUUUUCCAGGCAAAUCCGGAAAAUCAAGGCUGAGGCGUGAUGACGAGGCACUACGGUGCUGAAGCAACAAAUGCCCUGCUUCCAGGAAAAGCCUCUAAGCAUCAGGUAACAUCAAAUCGUACCCCAAACCGACACAGGUGGUCAGGUAGAGAAUACCAAGGCGCUUGAGAGAACUCGGGUGAAGGAACUAGGCAAAAUGGUGCCGUAACUUCGGGAGAAGGCACGCUGACACGUAGGUGAAGUGAUUUACUCACGGAGCUGAAGUCAGUCGAAGAUACCAGCUGGCUGCAACUGUUUAUUAAAAACACAGCACUGUGCAAACACGAAAGUGGACGUAUACGGUGUGACGCCUGCCCGGUGCCGGAAGGUUAAUUGAUGGGGUCAGCGCAAGCGAAGCUCCUGAUCGAAGCCCCGGUAAACGGCGGCCGUAACUAUAACGGUCCUAAGGUAGCGAAAUUCCUUGUCGGGUAAGUUCCGACCUGCACGAAUGGCGUAAUGAUGGCCAGGCUGUCUCCACCCGAGACUCAGUGAAAUUGAACUCGCUGUGAAGAUGCAGUGUACCCGCGGCAAGACGGAAAGACCCCGUGAACCUUUACUAUAGCUUGACACUGAACAUUGAGCCUUGAUGUGUAGGAUAGGUGGGAGGCUUUGAAGUGUGGACGCCAGUCUGCAUGGAGCCGACCUUGAAAUACCACCCUUUAAUGUUUGAUGUUCUAACGUGGACCCGUAAUCCGGGUUGCGGACAGUGUCUGGUGGGUAGUUUGACUGGGGCGGUCUCCUCCUAAAGAGUAACGGAGGAGCACGAAGGUUGGCUAAUCCUGGUCGGACAUCAGGAGGUUAGUGCAAUGGCAUAAGCCAGCUUGACUGCGAGCGUGACGGCGCGAGCAGGUGCGAAAGCAGGUCAUAGUGAUCCGGUGGUUCUGAAUGGAAGGGCCAUCGCUCAACGGAUAAAAGGUACUCCGGGGAUAACAGGCUGAUACCGCCCAAGAGUUCAUAUCGACGGCGGUGUUUGGCACCUCGAUGUCGGCUCAUCACAUCCUGGGGCUGAAGUAGGUCCCAAGGGUAUGGCUGUUCGCCAUUUAAAGUGGUACGCGAGCUGGGUUUAGAACGUCGUGAGACAGUUCGGUCCCUAUCUGCCGUGGGCGCUGGAGAACUGAGGGGGGCUGCUCCUAGUACGAGAGGACCGGAGUGGACGCAUCACUGGUGUUCGGGUUGUCAUGCCAAUGGCACUGCCCGGUAGCUAAAUGCGGAAGAGAUAAGUGCUGAAAGCAUCUAAGCACGAAACUUGCCCCGAGAUGAGUUCUCCCUGAGACUUUAGGUCUCCUGAAGGAACGUUGAAGACGACGACGUUGAUAGGCCGGGUGUGUAAGCGCAGCGAUGCGUUGAGCUAACCGGUACUAAUGAACCGUGAGGCUUAACCUU
This 3005-nucleotide ribosomal RNA is filed under the name Salmonella enterica subsp. enterica serovar Typhimurium. RNAcentral describes it as "bacterial LSU rRNA". It matches the Rfam family "Bacterial large subunit ribosomal RNA". The record is from RNAcentral. Lineage: Bacteria; Pseudomonadati; Pseudomonadota; Gammaproteobacteria; Enterobacterales; Enterobacteriaceae.